This 2571-nucleotide ribosomal RNA is filed under the name Scheffersomyces stambukii. Its description in RNAcentral is "bacterial LSU rRNA". The stretch from base 240 to 2469 matches the Rfam family "Bacterial large subunit ribosomal RNA". The record is from RNAcentral. Lineage: Eukaryota; Fungi; Ascomycota; Pichiomycetes; Serinales; Debaryomycetaceae.
AAUAAUCAAUUAGGUAGAGAGAAAGUCUAUUUAAGGGAUAAAUGAAUAUCUACAAAACCAAUAACAUUGAAUGAGGAGAUAUUAGAUGAAACUAAAGAAUAAAAAUACAAAAACAAUAUACCAACAAUGGUAUUAUUGACAUAAAUAUAAAUUCAAGAGAAAUAAUAUAAUAUAGAAUAGUAUAAUAAAUAGAUAAAAUAUCUCAUAGGAGAGAUAGUAAAGUAUGGUUACUAUAAAAUUAUGAUGAAAUAAAUAUUAUUUUAUAGAUUCUUUAACUAAUACUUAUAAAGAUUAAAUAAGAUUAUAAAUAUAAUCUAUUCUUAGCAUGAAAAUGCAAAUAAAAAGUCAAAUGAAUUGAAACAUCUUAGUAAUUUGAAAAAAAUCAACAGAGACAUUAUUAGUAAUGGUGAGUGAAAAUAAUGUAGUAUUCAAGUAAUAUCAUGAGGUAUGAAGAUAGUAGUAUCUACUACUAAUACUAAAGAAAAGUAUUAAGUUUAAUAUGUACUGUAAAGGAACUAGAUGAAAUAGAAUAAUAAAGAGCAAUUUUAGUAAAAUGUACCUCUUGUAUAAUGGGUCAGUGAGUUAUAUAUAUAAGCGAAAUUAAAUAAUAAUUAAAUAUAAAUAGUAAAAGUUUAUAUAUAUAGACCCGAAAGCAGACGAUCUAUAUAUGUUCAAGUAUAUUUAAUAAUAUGACUGAAUGGGUAGAUGUAGCAAUAUCUUCCAAAGAAAUGUGUAUAGUAGUGAAAGGCAAAUCUAGUCUGCCAAUAGCUGGUUUUCUACGAAAUAUAUUUUAGUAUAGCCUAUAAUAAAAUAAUAACUGGUACAGCACUGAAUGUUCAUUGGGGAGCCGAUAAGCUUUAUCAAGAAUGUUUAAUCUCAGAAACAGUAAACUAUAAAUUAUAGAGUCAGACUUAUUGCGAUAAGGUAGUAGGUCGAGACGGAAACAACCAAGAUUAUAAAAUAAAUGUCCCAAAAUUAUAUUAAGUGAAUCAAAUCUUCCUUAUAAGGUAGACAAUUAGUCAGUGGGUUUGACAAUAAUCACCUGUUAAUGAACAUGUAGCAAUGCACUAAUUCGAUUUAUAUUUAAGAAAAAAUAUACGGGUCUAAAUAUAUUACUUAAUUAUAAAUAUCUUAUUAAUAAGAUAUAGUAGUAGAACAUAUAAUAAAUUAAUAAAAAUAAAAAUAUAAAGAUUAAUAAAUUAUAAAGAAUAUGCUGACUUGAGUAACGAAAGGUAAUUUAAGAUUACCCUCUAAAUCAUAAGGUUAUAACAAUAAAAGAACGGACUCUAAUAUAUAAUAUGAAAAUAUUAUAAAGAUGAGAGAUAGAACAAGAAAAGAAACAAACCGUACUGUAAACCGACACAGGUAUGAUAAAAAGAGAAUAAGACAACUAUUAUGAAUGAACUCGGCAAAAUACAAAACAGUAAAGUUCGUGCGACUGUUUACCAAAAACAUAGCUUAUUGCGUAUUAGUGAUAAUUAGUAUAAUAAGUGAUAUCUGCCCGGUGCUAGUAUGCAUAAUAUAUUAAGUGAAAGCAAGAUAUAGAAAUAACUAGUAAACGGCGGUCUUAUUCUGAGGAUCCUAAGGUAGCGAAAUUCCUAGACAUAUAAUUGAUGUCCCGCAUGAAUGAUUUUACGAUGCGACAACUGUAUCCAUAAUAGUCUUAGUGAAAUAGCAAUUGCAGUGAAGAUGCUGUAUAACUAUAGUUUGACAAAAAGACCCUAUGCAGCUUUACUAUAUCUUUAUAUUGAUUGCUUUUAAUUGUAUUUUCAGAAUAUUAAGUGCAUUUAAAUAAAAGAAAUGAGAUACUUAUAAUAGAAUUUUAACAAUCUAAUCUUAUAAAAAUGAAGAAAUAAGAGACAGUUUAAAGAAGUUAGUUUCGAUGGGGCGUCGACAUCAGCGAAAGCAUCUGAUGUGUCUAAAUAAUAAAAAAUAUAUAAAAUUAUUUUAUAAUUAUAAUAGUAAACACGUACAAUAAUUCUAUAUGGCGAAUAGAUAAAAGUAAGGAUAACAACAUAAUUGUGCGAUAAUAAUAACACAAACAAGUGAAAUUAAUACGUAAGUAUAGUGUAAUGAACAGGCAUAAUCUAAAGAUAUGGAUGUCGAUAACGAAUAAAAGUUACGCUAGGGAUAACAGGGUAAUACCGCUAGAGAGUUGAUAUCGUCAGCGGUGUUUGCCACCUCGAUGUCGUCUAGACUCAUCCUCUUGGCCGUAGCAACUAAGUAGGGUAGGACUGUUCGUCCUUUAAAGAGUUACUUGAGAUGGGUUAAUUACGACGUGAGUCAGUAAUGAUUUUAUCAUCUAUAGUAAGAUAUUUUAAUUAUUAUACUACGUGUACGAAAGGAUAUUGGUAUGUAUUCCAAUGGUAAUAAGACAAAGAAAGAAAUCUUAUAAGCUAAGAAUAUAGAGAUUAAAUAUUGAAUGCAUAUAAAUAUGAAAUCCGAUAAUUAAAAUAUAAACAUUAAAGAUUAUAAUGUAAUAGUAAUAUAUAAGUAAAUUAAAAGAAUUUACAUAACAUAUAAACUAAUAAAAACUUUCAUCAUAAAAAAUAUCUCAAAGGGAUUAUAGAU